Molecule: ribosomal RNA, 956 nt
Filed under: uncultured bacterium
Lineage: Bacteria
Description: bacterial SSU rRNA
Rfam family: Bacterial small subunit ribosomal RNA
Source: RNAcentral
UGGGCGNAAAGGGAGCGUAGGCGGCGUGGAAAGUCAGAUGUGAAAUCCCAGAGCUUAACUCUGGAACUGCAUCCGAUACUACCAUGCUUGAGUAUUGGAGGGGUAACUGGAAUUCUCGGUGUAGCAGUGAAAUGCGUAGAUAUCGAGAGGAACACUCGUGGCGAAAGCGAGUUACUGGACAAUUACUGACGCUGAGGCUCGAAGGCUAGGGGAGCAAAAGGGAUUAGAUACCCCUGUAGUCCUAGCAGUAAACGGUGCACGCUUGGUUUGAGGGGAAUCGACCCCNUUCGAGCCGGAGCUAACGCGUUAAGCGUGCCGCCUGGGAAGUACGGUCGCAAGACUAAAACUCAAAGAAAUUGACGGGGACCCGCACAAGCGGUGGAGUAUGUGGCUUAAUUCGAUGCAACGCGAAGAACCUUACCUAGGCUUGACAUGGAUUUCUAAGCACGUGAAAGCGUGUGACCCUUCGGGGGACUUCCACAGGUGCUGCAUGGCCGUCGUCAGCUCGUGUCGUGAGAUGUUGGGUUAAGUCCCGCAACGAGCGCAACCCCUGUGUUUAGUUACCAGCGCGUUAUGGCGGGGACUCUAAACAGACUGCCCAGAUCAACUGGGAGGAAGGUGGGGACGACGUCAGGUCAGUAUGGCCCUUACGCCUAGGGCUGCACACGUACUACAAUGCUCAGUACAAUGAGAACCGAGACCGCGAGGUGGAGGAAAUCUACAAAACUGGGCUCAGUUCGGAUUGGAGGCUGCAACUCGCCUCCAUGAAGCUGGAAUCGCUAGUAAUGGCACAUCAGCUACGGUGCCGUGAAUACGUUCCCGGGUCUUGUACACACCGCCCGUCACAUCAUGGAAGUCGGUCGCACCCGAAGUACACAAGCCAACCGCAAGGAGGCAGUGUCCUAAGGUGUAGCUGGUAACUGGGAUGAAGUCGUAACAAGGUAACCAAGGGCGAA